Long non-coding RNA from Mustela erminea (ermine), 438 nucleotides. RefSeq lists it as uncharacterized. The record is from RefSeq and is a predicted model, not a curated record. Lineage: Eukaryota; Metazoa; Chordata; Mammalia; Carnivora; Mustelidae. The transcript has 3 exons.
AGGGAGAGAAGAGAAAAAAAAAAAAAACAAAAACCUUGAAUGAAGUACUUGAUCCUGACAGAAGGAAACGGGGACCCUCUUUCUAGAACCCAAUGAUUUCACAAUGGAUGGAAACCAUGCAUCCUGAGAGCACCAGGUUUCUUCGUGGUGAUGGGGGCGCUGAGGAAAGAGGAGAACAAAGUGUUACCUCUACCCAAGACUCCUAAGUGGGAAAAUGAAAUCUAGCUAAAAGGGUGUCGUGUUUCAAGAAGACACUGAACUCAUCUGAUCAUUCAACAACUUCAAGAGAUGGGUUUAAGGAUCCCCAUGGACACCCAGGCAGUCAGGUUCACAAAGCAAAAUGGGACAGCACACGAGACUCAACAUUUCCCGAAGCUCUACAGCCUUCUUUAAAAUGACCAUUCAUUCGUCUACCCAAGGAAAACCUUCGUCUCUGGA